UAGGGGAUUUUCGUCAAUGGGCGCAAGCCUGAACGAGCAAUGCCGCGUGAGUGAGGAAGGUCUUCGGAUCGUAAAGCUCUGUUGCAGGUCAGAAAAGAAGGGAAGAGGAAAAUGCUUUUCUUUUUGAUAGUAACCUGCCAGAAAGUCACGGCUAACUACGUGCC
This 164-nucleotide ribosomal RNA is filed under the name uncultured bacterium. RNAcentral's name for it is "partial 16S ribosomal RNA". It matches the Rfam family "Bacterial small subunit ribosomal RNA", at positions 355 to 509 of the family's 1533-position model. The record is from RNAcentral.